RNAcentral lists this long non-coding RNA (631 nucleotides) under Ananas comosus (pineapple). RNAcentral describes it as "long non-coding RNA (ACOM_LNC020959)". Lineage: Eukaryota; Viridiplantae; Streptophyta; Magnoliopsida; Poales; Bromeliaceae. The record is from RNAcentral.
GCUUUCGGAUUGAAAUAGCUAUUUUCUUAUCUUCAAAAAUUUCUAAUUUUUCUAGCGAUUUACUGUAAGUUUUUUUUUAUUUUAAUCACAAAAUUUGGUAGAUCGUUUAAAGCCAAGUGAAUUUUCAGUGCUCUGUUUCUAACAUCUGUUGUGUUGUUCUUGUUGAAUCCCCAGCUUGUGUGGGAUUUGUUGGAUGUGGCCUACGUGAUAUAUUCAAGGCGAUCCAUAAAGAUACGGUCAAUCUAUUUAAGUCAAUCUAUAAAGAUACUGUAGAUUUUACGGUUACGAUGUAGCUGGACACGUCUUUGAUGGACGUGUGUGAUUUAACAUCCUUACAUUAAGUUAUACAUAAAUAUGUAACAUACAGGAGUCCCGGUCUAACGCUAAUCCAAUUGUCUGUGACGGCUUCAUCUCCGGGGAUAAGGGAUUUAGACUCGAAACGUCCCACUCUAAACGUCCCGCUAUUUUGCAGAUCGCGAACGAGGACGAACCACGAGCAAAAAAUCGCCGCCUAUGAAUCAGGUACAGAAAUCGAAAUCAUGGCAGAAGGUACGAUCUUAAUUUCUUAUAAAGUUUCAACAGGAUUUGAUACGCAUUUAAGUUUAUUGAUUUGGUUUAGUAGAAUAUUAUU